RNAcentral lists this unclassified non-coding RNA (4026 nucleotides) under Camponotus floridanus (Florida carpenter ant). RNAcentral describes it as "protein cycle, transcript variant X10". The record is from RNAcentral. Lineage: Eukaryota; Metazoa; Arthropoda; Insecta; Hymenoptera; Formicidae.
CUCCGCCGGGUAAGCGGCAAUCUGCGGGUCGACGAUUCGAGUCCCGCGCGCGUUCGAAAGACGACGGUGCGUUAGGUGCGUGCACGCGUAUUUCUCUGCCGCGCGGUUUCGCGCUCAAACGUCGCGGGCGCGCCGGUGUGUCAUGUGGAUUUACGUCGCGUCGCCGAGGACGGACGGAGCGACUUGGAGACGUCGAACGACGGCGACAUCGGCGACGGGGGAGAGAUAUCGAUACUAUGAGGCCUCACGAAUGGAUGCGUAGCACAUCCCGAAACAGAUUCGAAGGCACUGGUACGGUCCAGUCAAAUGAAUGGACGUAUGGAAGGGCUCGAUACGAAUCUAAAGAAGUUCGUGCUCCACGGUUUAUUUCGGCGAGAUAAACACGGGUUCCGGGGUGGGAGAGCUAACCACCGCCUCGGCGGGGGGUGGUGGCGAAGGUCUCGCCCCGACUCCAACCCCCGCCAACGGCAGCAACAGCAGUGGCAGCAGCGUUAGUACCACCACCCCCAGCAGCCUGAGCACCGCUACAACUACGACUACCACCUCCACUACCAGCAUCGCUACCAUCCUGCAGGUUGCAACGGGGGCUGAACCGCCCCGGCACAUGGAGACACCCCCGACGAUGAUCCCCGACCAGCAGGCACCCGCCUCCGGCCAUCACUAUCACCAUCAUCAUCAUCAUCAUCAUCAUCAUCGACAUCACCGUAGUACGUCUACGACUAGCCAUGAACCGGCAACAAACACCCCGGACGAGUUCGCACGGAAGCGAAAGCUGUCUUGCCAUGCUGGAAGCGAUCUCCUGGACGAUCUGAGGGACGAUGCCAAAUCUAUUCGCACAAAUGACGACAGUAAAAAAUCCCGAAUUCACGUAGAUCAAAUCUUCCCAAAAAAUCCGCUGAAGUUGACGAGAUGUGUGUUAUUAUACCAUAUCAUUCUCACCGGUAGCUUGGCACGAUUCCGAUCUUGUUUGCAUGGAACGACGAUGGCAAUAGGAUUCCGCGCAAUUAACGCAACGAAGGUACAGAACCACAGUGAAAUUGAAAAACGCAGGAGAGACAAAAUGAACACGUACAUCACCGAGCUCUCGGCGAUGGUGCCAAUGUGUCACGCGAUGUCGCGAAAGCUGGACAAGUUGACCGUGCUGCGAAUGGCGGUGCAGCAUCUCAAAACCAUCCUUGGUGCGGUUACUUCAUAUACGGAAGGUCACUAUAAACCUGCGUUUCUCAGUGAUCAGGAACUCAAGACGCUCAUACUUCAAGCCGCGGAGGGCUUUGUCUUUGUAGUGGGCUGCGAUCGCGGAAGAAUUCUCUACGUUUCCGAAUCCGUCUCGCAAACUCUCAAUUAUUCUCAGGGUGACUUGUUGGGUCAAAGCUGGUUCGACAUUCUGCAUCCGAAGGAUGUCGCUAAAGUAAAGGAGCAGCUCUCGUCCUCCGAUCUCAGUCCGAGGGAGCGAUUGAUCGAUGCGAAAACGAUGUUACCGGUAAAAACCGACGUGCCCCAAGGAGUAUCACGACUUUGUCCUGGUGCGCGAAGAUCCUUCUUUUGUCGGAUGAAGCGUAAAGUCGAUGGGGUCCGUUGCGAUGAGAUGCAGGUGAAAGAGGAAGUCGACACUACCACUGGCUGCCACAGGCGGAAGAAGCAGCAAAACGUAGAUCGGAAGUAUUGCGUAAUUCAAUGCACGGGUUAUCUAAAAUCCUGGGCACCUGCAAAGAUCGGUCUCGAAGAGCAGGAGGGCGAGGCCGACGGUGAAGCUUGCAAUUUGUCUUGCCUGAUCGCAGUCGGUCGGGUUCAAAUGGCAAUAUCGACGACAACAUUGCCGUCGAGGAAGCCCCAUUUGAGACCCAUACAAUUCGUCUCGCGACAUGCGAUGGAUGGCAAAUUUCUGUUUGUGGACCAAAGAGCUACUCCAGUAUUGGGCUUUCUACCUCAAGAACUACUGGGCACCAGUAUGUACGAAUACUAUCACCACGAUGAUAUUCCCCAUCUAGCAGAGUCUCACAAAGCCGCGUUGCAGACCCCCGAGCGCAUUACGACGCAGAUCUAUAGGUUCAGAAGUAAGGAUGCGAAUUUUGUCAGACUGCAAUCCGAGUGGAAGUCCUUCAGAAAUCCAUGGACCAAAGACAUCGAGUAUUUAAUCGCCAAGAAUUCUGCUAUCUUUUGCGAUGCGUUGAGUGGAAAUAACGGAUCCGAGGAUUCGAGCGUGCAGGACAACUAUGAUUACUUUACGCAGAGUAAUGAUGGAUUAGAGAGACUAAUCUCGAGCCACGUGGAGGUAAGUAAGAUCGGUCGGCAGAUAGCGGAAGAAGUACUGGACCUACAAAAACGCGGGGAAGAUUCUUCCUCGGGUAGUAGUCCUGGUCCAGCUGUGACAGAGCCCGCUUUAUUAAACACCGAGUCGCAAAUCACGACGACGACAUCGCCGGAGAGGGUACCCGACGUGUCCCGGACAGGUGGCAUCAGCAACGACAAUUGUAGCAACAAUCCCACAUCAACGUUCAACCAUGUAGCGAACAACGUGCAGCUCAACAGCAUCGCGAAUGACCAAGGAGCGUCACCAGACGAAGACAUGAUGGAUAUGAUUGGUGGCACUGCGAUUAAUGAGUCGCCAAAUCCGAUCCCGUCUGAUGGCAACGACGAGGCAGCGAUGGCUGUCAUUAUGAGCCUGCUGGAGGCGGACGCGGGCCUAGGUGGUCCUGUGGAUUUUUCCGGAUUGCCUUGGCCGUUGCCAUAGUGUUGUACACAUAUUUUAGAAUGCGGAUAUUAGACGUUUUGAUCAAAAUGCUCGAAAUAAGACUUGGUGCUGAAAAAAGGUGCUUGGAUGUUCGGCGAGGUAAUUUGCGAUAAUCAACAACGAGAAAUGGACAAAUGCUGAAAUCCCAUAUCAAAAAGUAUACUGUGGUGAUGCGGACAAUAUAGUGUGAAUAAUAAUUACGUUUUAGUGACAAAUUGACGUUAUAUGUGUAAAUACAUGGCACGUGUGUACGUAUGCGUGUAAUAUAACGUUUAAGUGUACCUAAUUAAAUUGUAAGAAUAUCUGUUCGGAGAAUAUCUGUUCUGAGGAGGCUUUUAUCUAAUCGAAUGAAAUGUCUGCGCGCAAUUUUCGAAGCAGUUCUUCCUAAAAAUUUCGAAAAAAAUCGAUAUUUGCUGAAAUGUGUUGCAAGUGCUCGCGUUUAAUUUGUGUGAACGUGCUAUUGUAAAAAUAAAAAAGUAUGAACAUUUAUACUUUACUAUAUGCAUUUGCAUGCGCAAAUAAUAAAUUGGAAAAUUAUAAAAGACAUUUUUUUGUAACGCGGAAUAAUGAACUCAUCGCGCAAGCAAUCGCAUGUUAUUUUCGGUAGACUCUUCAUUUUGUACGUUAUUUUUAAAUGCCAAAUGAUGCCGAAAAUAUCGAUAUAUGAAUUGAACAAAGAUCACACCAUCAAAUAAAUUGUAAAUAAGCUUAAUUUUUCCAGUACUUUGUAAUUGAAAAAAGAAGAUAAAAACAGCAAUUAAUUAGCUUCUCAAAGUUUGUGAUUUUUUUAAAACUAUAUAAUAGUUUCUUCUUAAGUAAUAUUGUUAGUCAUUAAUGAAUGGAUGAAAAACAAUCACAAAGUACAAACGAUCUCGAAAAUAAAACUUUUAAACUUGGUGGACGUAUAGGAUAAGAGAUUUUUUUUUAUUCAUUAUGCAAAUCGCUUUUCGGAUUAUCGAGCUAGAAACGCAAUACACUAUCUGUCAUAAAGUUUGAUUUAUAACAUUUGUCUUACGAGAAGUACUAGAACUAUAUAUCUAAUGCCGCAUUUUAUUUUGCCAUGACGCACGAUUUUCAAAUCAACAAUAAUAUUAUAAUAAUAUAUUUAUAAAAAACGCAAAUGGAACGUGCUAAAGUAAUAUAAGAAUUCUAAUGUAAAUAAUAUAUAUGACAUUCUGCUGUAAUUUAUUGUCCAACAUUAAAAAAAAGUGAUAAAUAUUUACAUCUUGAUACGUUGACUAUUCAGUAUGAAUAAAUCUUGUAUGUAAAUUCUCUCUCUUUUUUGUUUCGGAUUA